Haplochromis burtoni (Burton's mouthbrooder) is the source of this 1292-nucleotide long non-coding RNA. RefSeq lists it as uncharacterized. The transcript has 3 exons. The record is from RefSeq and is a predicted model, not a curated record. NCBI's taxonomy places the organism in Eukaryota, Metazoa, Chordata, Actinopteri, Cichliformes, Cichlidae.
AGAAGAAAAGAGUUCAAAUUAAUCAUGUCUUCAUUCAUUAAGAGUGUGGAAACAUGAUCCAAAAUCUGGGUGUGCCUUUGUCAUUACACAAAGUCUGAAUCUCUAUAUCAUAUGUGUGUAACAUGAUAUUUUCCAUAGCUUCAAACUCUGACAGUGUGAAUCAGUAUUCGAGAUGUGUGGUAUCAUUUAAAUGUUGUGUUCAUUUUAAGCGUACAGGGCUCACACUGAGAGCAGGUGAGACAGGACCCAGCACAGUAAUCAGAGUAGCUGGUGGCCGUGGUUGGGUGCUGUAUCAUGUAGCUGCUGUGAGAUAAAGCACAGUGUUUGUAAUCCAAUCCUCCCCAGCACCAGCACAUGCUGCUCGAGUCAGUUUGAAUCGUGAAAGUGAGAGAAUGUGAGGAUGAUAAAGAGAGGAGACAUACCUGUGGAGGUGUCAAGAAGUGGACUUCUGUGCUUGGUGUGUGAAAGGAUGUCUGAGGAGUGGAAAAGUGUACUGAUGCUCGUUAUCCGUAACAAAGGUGAGAGCUGUAGUAACUAAGGGCUGAAGCUGAAGAGAAACCAUGAAAGUACCAGAGAGACUUGUUGAAGACAAGCACUGCAGACGUGACGAUGCUGGAUUGUGCUGAUGGAGGAGGACAGAUGGAGCUUCACUGUGGAUCAGAGGAAGCAGAUGAGAUGCUGCCAAGAGAGGAACUGUGGUGCUGCAUGAGGAAGUCAUGAGAGGGUGGUGAGGUGUGAGUGGACAGAUGGGUUCAGAUGAGCAGCAUACAUUGGUCAGGUCUUCUUCCUCUCUCCAUCCAUGAGGUGUAGAAGCUUCAGAUGUUCUGCUCCUGACACUGACCAUCUCUCUAUUUCCAAAGCAAUCUGCAUCCUGGCUUUGAUGUCAUGUAACGUCAUGCACAAAUGAAGAUGAUAAGGGAACGGGUUUCCAUGGCAACUGAACUUCCCAUGUCCUCCAAACUUCACACCUUCAUCUCUACAUUUACCCCAGUUCUCUUUUUAUGUACUUCCCAAAGUGACCUUCAGUGCAGGCACACCACAAAGGUUUACAGUGUCUACGUCUCCGUAGCCCAGACUCACUCGAGAUGUCAGCUAUGCACUGGGAGGCCAGGCGACGGCAGACUGCUCUGGACCGCAGGAUGGCCCGAGACAAGCAGCCGUUGGUGCACAUGAGAAGCUGUGCUGACACCAAUGCAACCAAAUCAAAUGCAACAGAAGAACAACGAGCCGGAAGUCAGCAUCACUGUGAAGGUGACCUGAAGAUGGAUGACCAUCACAACCCCAAGAUUCCC